GACGAACGCUGGCGGCGUGCUUAACACAUGCAAGUCGAGCGGUAAGGCCCUUUCGGGGGUACGACGAGCGGCGAACGGGUGAGUAACACGUGGGUGACCUGCCCUUAGCUCUGGGAUAAGCCUGGGAAACUGGGUCUAAUACCGGAUAUGACUCCAUGACGCAUGUUGUGGGGUGAAAGCCUUGUGCGGCUAGGGAUGGGCCCGCGGCCUAUCAGCUUGUUGGUGGGGUGAUGGCCACCAAGGCGACGACGGGUAGCCGGCCUGAGAGGGCGACCGGCCACACUGGGACUGAGACACGGCCCAGACUCCUACGGGAGGCAGCAGUGGGGAAUCUUGCGCAAUGGGCGAAAGCCUGACGCAGCGACGCCGCGUGAGGGAUGACGGCCU
This 387-nucleotide ribosomal RNA is filed under the name uncultured bacterium. RNAcentral's name for it is "bacterial SSU rRNA". It matches the Rfam family "Bacterial small subunit ribosomal RNA", at positions 28 to 417 of the family's 1533-position model. The record is from RNAcentral.